GCCUGGCUGGCUCAGUUGGUAGAACAUGCAACUCCCAAUCUCAGGGUCAUGAGUUCAAGCCCCAUGUUGGGCA
This is a non-coding RNA of Canis lupus familiaris (dog), 73 nucleotides long. The record is from Rfam. NCBI's taxonomy places the organism in Eukaryota, Metazoa, Chordata, Mammalia, Carnivora, Canidae.